RNAcentral lists this ribosomal RNA (468 nucleotides) under uncultured bacterium. Its description in RNAcentral is "partial 16S ribosomal RNA". It matches the Rfam family "Bacterial small subunit ribosomal RNA", at positions 28 to 507 of the family's 1533-position model. The record is from RNAcentral.
GACGAACGCUGGCGGCGUGCUUAGCACAUGCAAGUCGAACGGAAAGGCCCUGCUUUUGUGGGGUGCUCGAGUGGCGAACGGGUGAGUAACACGUGAGUAACCUGCCCUUGACUUUGGGAUAACUUCAGGAAACUGGGGCUAAUACCGGAUAGGAGCUCCUGCUGCAUGGUGGGGGUUGGAAAGUUUCGGCGGUUGGGGAUGGACUCGCGGCUUAUCAGCUUGUUGGUGGGGUAGUGGCUUACCAAGGCUUUGACGGGUAGCCGGCCUGAGAGGGUGACCGGCCACAUUGGGACUGAGAUACGGCCCAGACGCCUACGGGAGGCAGCAGUGGGGAAUAUUGCACAAUGGGCGGAAGCCUGAUGCAGCAACGCCGCGUGCGGGAUGACGGCCUUCGGGUUGUAAACCGCUUUCGCCUGUGACGAAGCGUGAGUGACGGUAAUGGGUAAAGAAGCACCGGCUAACUACGUG